AAGUCGUAACAAGGUUUCCGUAGGUGAACCUGCGGAAGGAUCAUUACCGAAUCUCUCUUCAUUGAGAAACCACUGUGAACUGUUCUUAGCAUGUGGGGUAACCUUGACAGGUUUUAAAGCAAUCUGCGUUGCGCCCCACGUGCGACCCUCUGUUGUUUUUUCAACGCACAUAUCUUACCAGUGUUUUCUGGUUGCCUCAGGUGCAACUGGAAGUAUGUCGAACCUAUGACAACUUCUAACGGUGGAUCUCUUGGCUCGUGCAUCGAUGAAGAACGUAGCCAGUUGCGAUAAGUAGUGUGAAUUGCAGAAUUCAGUGAAUCAUCGAAUCUUUGAACGCAAAUUGCGCUCCCUGGAUAUCCAGGGAGCAUGCCUGUCUGAGUGUCGUGUUAAACUCUACACACUUUGGUGUGGCUAGGGAGCUCAUGCGUUUCUCGCGCCUGUCUCUCCAUGUGUCUGACCCCGGCUGUUGUGCUUCGGUGCUGUGGUUGGGAAGGCUCAACUUGCUUCUGUCCUUCUCACACAGUGCUGGCACACUGCCAGUGGUUUCCUCUGGACGCCCUGUGCAUCCAAUUUCCAUCUUUGACCUCAGAUCAGACAAGACUACCCGCUGAAUUUAAGCAUAUCAAUA
Molecule: ribosomal RNA, 628 nt
Filed under: uncultured eukaryote
Lineage: Eukaryota
Description: eukaryotic LSU rRNA
Rfam family: 5.8S ribosomal RNA (bases 231-384)
Source: RNAcentral